AGAGUUUGAUCCUGGCUCAGAAUGAACGCUGGCGGCGUGCUUAACACAUGCAAGUCGUGCGCGAAGGCGGCUUCGGCUGCCGGAGAGCGGCGAACGGGUGAGUAACACGUGGGUAAUCUGCCUGGGAGUGGGGGAUAACCUGGGGAAACCCGGGCUAACACCGCAUACGAUGCCGGGUCUAAGGAUCUGGUCUGAAAGCUGGCCUCUGCUUGCAAGCUAGCGCUCCCAGAGGAGCCCGCGGCUGAUUAGCUGGUUGGUGGGGUAAUGGCCUACCAAGGCGACGAUCAGUAGCCGGCCUGAGAGGGUGAUCGGCCACACUGGAACUGAGACACGGUCCAGACUCCUACGGGAGGCAGCAGUGGGGAAUAUUGGACAAUGGGCGCAAGCCUGAUCCAGCAACGCCGCGUGGAGGACGAAGGUCUUCGGAUCGUAAACUCCUGUCAGACGGGACGAAGGUCUGGGGGUGAAUAACUCUCAGGCUUGACGGUACUGUCAGAGGAAGCCCCGGCUAACUCCGUGCCAGCAGCCGCGGUAAUACGGAGGGGGCGAGCGUUAUUCGGAAUUAUUGGGCGUAAAGGGCGCGUAGGCGGCUUGAUAAGUCAAAGGUGAAAUCCCUCGGCUCAACUGAGGAACUGCCUUUGAAACUGUCUGGCUUGAGGCCGGGAGGGGGUAGCGGAAUUCCCAGUGUAGCGGUGAAUGCGUAGAUAUUGGGAGGAACACCGGUGGCGAAGGCGGCUACCUGGACCGGUUCUGACGCUGAUGCGCGAAAGCGUGGGUAGCAAACAGGAUUAGAUACCCUGGUAGUCCACGCUGUAAACGAUGGGUGCUCGGUGUCGCGGGUAUCGACCCCUGCGGUGCCUUAGCUAACGCGUUAAGCACCCCGCCUGGGGAGUACGGUCGCAAGGCUGAAACUCAAAGGAAUUUGACGGGGGCCCGCACAAGCGGUGGAGCAUGUGGUUUAAUUCGAUGCAACGCGAAGAACCUUACCUGGGCUUGAACUGUGGUGGACCGCUCCUGGAAACAGGGCUUCCCCUUCGGGGGCCGCCAUAGAGGUGCUGCAUGGCUGUCGUCAGCUCG
This 1077-nucleotide ribosomal RNA is filed under the name uncultured soil bacterium. RNAcentral describes it as "bacterial SSU rRNA". It matches the Rfam family "Bacterial small subunit ribosomal RNA", at positions 8 to 1062 of the family's 1533-position model. The record is from RNAcentral.